This 497-nucleotide ribosomal RNA is filed under the name uncultured bacterium. RNAcentral's name for it is "partial 16S ribosomal RNA". It matches the Rfam family "Bacterial small subunit ribosomal RNA", at positions 28 to 507 of the family's 1533-position model. The record is from RNAcentral.
GAUGAACGCUGGCGGCGUGCCUAAUACAUGCAAGUCGAGCGAACGGACGAGAAGCUUGCUUCUCUGAUGUUAGCGGCGGACGGGUGAGUAACACGUGGAUAACCUACCUAUAAGACUGGGAUAACUUCGGGAAACCGGAGCUAAUACCGGAUGAUAUUUUGAACCGCAUGGUUCAAAGGUGAAAGACGGUCUUGCUGUCACUUAUAGAUGGAUCCGCGCUGCAUUAGCUAGUUGGUAAGGUAACGGCUUACCAAGGCAACGAUGCAUAGCCGACCUGAGAGGGUGAUCGGCCACACUGGAACUGAGACACGGUCCAGACUCCUACGGGAGGCAGCAGUAGGGAAUCUUCCGCAAUGGGCGAAAGCCUGACGGAGCAACGCCGCGUGAGUGAUGAAGGUCUUCGGAUCGUAAAACUCUGUUAUUAGGGAAGAACAUAUGUGUAAGUAACUGUGCACAUCUUGACGGUACCUAAUCAGAAAGCCACGGCUAACUACGUG